UUUCACUUCAGUAGAACAUACAAUAAAAUUGGAACAAUAUAGAAGUUAGCAUGGUACCUGCACAAGGAUGACAUGCAAAUUCAUGAAGCAUUCUGUAUUUUU
Molecule: small nuclear RNA, 102 nt
Organism: Ictidomys tridecemlineatus (thirteen-lined ground squirrel)
Lineage: Eukaryota; Metazoa; Chordata; Mammalia; Rodentia; Sciuridae
Source: Ensembl